CAAAACUCACAUUUCCAGGUACGUUUGGAAACUAAACCACUCAACUCAUCUCAACUCAUCAUUACAAAUUUUUUAAAUUUCAACACAAAAUAUAAUAAACAAUUCAACUUUUUCAAAUUUCAAAAUAAUAAUAAUAUUAAAAAAUAAUAUUUUAAUAAUAU
Molecule: long non-coding RNA, 161 nt
Organism: Juglans microcarpa x Juglans regia
Lineage: Eukaryota; Viridiplantae; Streptophyta; Magnoliopsida; Fagales; Juglandaceae
Exons: 3
Source: RefSeq, a predicted model, not a curated record